This 490-nucleotide ribosomal RNA is filed under the name uncultured bacterium. RNAcentral's name for it is "partial 16S ribosomal RNA". It matches the Rfam family "Bacterial small subunit ribosomal RNA", at positions 30 to 507 of the family's 1533-position model. The record is from RNAcentral.
AUUGAACGCUGGCGGCAGGCCUAACACAUGCAAGUCGAACGGUAACAGGAAGCAGCUUGCUGCUUCGCUGACGAGUGGCGGACGGGUGAGUAAUGUCUGGGAAACUGCCUGAUGGAGGGGGAUAACUACUGGAAACGGUAGCUAAUACCGCAUAACGUCGCAAGACCAAAGAGGGGGACCUUAGGGCCUCUUGCCAUCGGAUGUGCCCAGAUGGGAUUAGCUAGUAGGUGGGGUAACGGCUCACCUAGGCGACGAUCCCUAGCUGGUCUGAGAGGAUGACAAGCCACACUGGAACUGAGACACGGUCCAGACUCCUACGGGAGGCAGCAGUGGGGAAUAUUGCACAAUAGGCGCAAGCCUGAUGCAGCCAUGCCGCGUGUAUGAAGAAGGCCUUCGGGUUGUAAAGUACUUUCAGCGGGGAGGAAGGGAGUAAAGUUAAUACCUUUGCUCAUUGACGUUACCCGCAGAAGAAGCACCGGCUAACUCCGUG